GGGUCGGUACCCAAGCGGCGAAGGGAGCAGGCUGUAAACUUGUGACAUUAGAAACGUCGAAGGUUCGAGUCCUUCUCGGCCCA
RNAcentral lists this transfer RNA (83 nucleotides) under archaeon. RNAcentral describes it as "tRNA-Tyr". It matches the Rfam family "tRNA". Rfam says of the family: Transfer RNA (tRNA) molecules are approximately 80 nucleotides in length. Their secondary structure includes four short double-helical elements and three loops (D, anti-codon, and T loops). Further hydrogen bonds mediate the characteristic L-shaped molecular structure. tRNAs have two regions of fundamental functional importance: the anti-codon, which is responsible for specific mRNA codon recognition, and the 3' end, to which the tRNAs corresponding amino acid is attached (by aminoacyl-tRNA synthetases). tRNAs cope with the degeneracy of the genetic code in two manners: having more than one tRNA (with a specific anti-codon) for a particular amino acid; and 'wobble' base-pairing, i.e. permitting non-standard base-pairing at the 3rd anti-codon position. The record is from RNAcentral.